GACGAACGCUGGCGGCGUGCCUAACACAUGCAAGUCGAGCGGAGAUAUUAGCAAUAAUAUCUUAGCGGCGGACGGGUGAGUAACGCGUGGGCAACCUGCCUUUCACUGGGGGAUAACACAGGGAAACUUGUGCUAAUACCGCAUAACAUCACGAGAUGACAUCUUCUUGUGAUCAAAGGAGCAAUCCGGUGAUAGAUGGGCCCGCGUCCGAUUAGCUAGUUGGUGGUGUAACGGACCACCAAGGCGACGAUCGGUAGCCGAACUGAGAGGUUGAUCGGCCACAUUGGGACUGAGACGCGGCCCAGACUCCUACGGGAGGCAGCAGUGGGGAAUAUUGCGCAAUGGGGGAAACCCUGACGCAGCAACGCCGCGUGAAGGAUGAAGGUUCUCGGAUUGUAAACUUCUUUGAUGAGGGACGAAAAAAUGACGGUACCUCAAAAACAAGCCACGGCUAACUACGUGCCAGCCGCCGCGUAAA
This 478-nucleotide ribosomal RNA is filed under the name uncultured bacterium. RNAcentral's name for it is "partial 16S ribosomal RNA". It matches the Rfam family "Bacterial small subunit ribosomal RNA", at positions 28 to 523 of the family's 1533-position model. The record is from RNAcentral.